This 101-nucleotide microRNA precursor is filed under the name Drosophila guanche. The record is from RNAcentral. Lineage: Eukaryota; Metazoa; Arthropoda; Insecta; Diptera; Drosophilidae.
UAUGCUAUGGGUGCGUGCGUUUGUGUGUGUGUGUGUGUCUGCCACAUGCAAAAUCCUAACUGAAUCCAGCACACACACACACACACGCAAACGCACUGACA